GACGAACGCUGGCGGCGUGCUUAACACAUGCAAGUCGAACGGAAAGGCCCUGCUUUUGUGGGGUGCUCGAGUGGCGAACGGGUGAGUAACACGUGAGUAACCUGCCCUUGACUUUGGGAUAACUUCAGGAAACUGGGGCUAAUACCGGAUAGGAGCUCCUGCUGCAUGGUGGGGGUUGGAAAGUGUCGGCGGUUGGGGAUGGACUCGCGGCUUAUCAGCUUGUUGGUGGGGUAGUGGCUUACCAAGGCUUUGACGGGUAGCCGGCCUGAGAGGGUGACCGGCCACAUUGGGACUGCGAUACGGACCAGACUCCUACGGGAGGCAGCAGUGGGGAAUAUUGCACAAUGGGCGGAAGCCUGAUGCAGCAACGCCGCGUGCGGGAUGACGGCCUUCGGGUUGUAAACCGCUUUCGCCUGUGACGAAGCGUGAGUGACGGUAAUGGGUAAAGAAGCACCGGCUAACUACGUG
RNAcentral lists this ribosomal RNA (468 nucleotides) under uncultured bacterium. RNAcentral's name for it is "partial 16S ribosomal RNA". It matches the Rfam family "Bacterial small subunit ribosomal RNA", at positions 28 to 507 of the family's 1533-position model. The record is from RNAcentral.